CCAUUCCGCGUGCAGGAUGAAGGCCCUCGGGUUGUAAACUGCUUUUGUACGGAACGAAAAAGCUCCGGCUAAUACCUGGAGUUCAUGACGGUACCGUAAGAAUAAGCACCGGCUAACUACGUGCCAGCAGCCGCGGUAAUACGUAGGGUGCAAGCGUUAAUCGGAAUUACUGGGCGUAAAGCGUGCGCAGGCGGUUUUGUAAGACAGAGGUGAAAUCCCCGGGCUCAACCUGGGAACUGCCUUUGUGACUGCAAGGCUGGAGUGCGGCAGAGGGGGAUGGAAUUCCGCGUGUAGCAGUGAAAUGCGUAGAUAUGCGGAGGAACACCGAUGGCGAAGGCAAUCCCCUGGGCCUGCACUGACGCUCAUGCACGAAAGCGUGGGGAGCAAACAGGAUUAGAUACCCUGGUAGUCCACGCCCUAAACGAUGUCAACUGGUUGUUGGGAAUUCAUUUUCUCAGUAACGAAGCUAACGCGUGAAGUUGACCGCCUGGGGAGUACGGCCGCAAGGCUAAAACUCAAAGGAAUUGACGGGGAC
This 535-nucleotide ribosomal RNA is filed under the name uncultured bacterium. Its description in RNAcentral is "bacterial SSU rRNA". It matches the Rfam family "Bacterial small subunit ribosomal RNA", at positions 392 to 920 of the family's 1533-position model. The record is from RNAcentral.